CCCUUAGAUGUUCUGGGCCGCACGCGCGCUACACUGACGAAUGCAACGAGCUUAUAACCUUGGCCGAAAGGUCUGGGUAAUCUCCAAAUUUCGUCGUGAUGGGGAUAGAUUAUUGCAAUUAUUAAUCUUCAACGAGGAAUGCCUAGUAAGCGCAAGUCAUCAGCUUGCGUUGAUUACGUCCCUGCCCUUUGUACACACCGCCCGUCGCUACUACUGAUUGGACGUUUAAGCAAGAUUUUUAAACACUGACAGUGUGUAGUUCACGCUAUACUACAGUGAGAAGAAGAAGAUCGAGCUUACUUGUCUAGAGGAAGUAAAAGUCGUAACA
This 328-nucleotide ribosomal RNA is filed under the name uncultured eukaryote. RNAcentral describes it as "partial 18S ribosomal RNA". It matches the Rfam family "Eukaryotic small subunit ribosomal RNA", at positions 1470 to 1796 of the family's 1831-position model. The record is from RNAcentral.